GCAAAACGCGAAGAACCUUACCUACUCUUGACAUCCACGGAACUUUUCAGAGAUGAAUUGGUGCCUUCGGGAACCGUGAGACAGGUGCUGCAUGGCUGUCGUCAGCUCGUGUUGUGAAAUGUUGGGUUAAGUCCCGCAACGAGCGCAACCCUUAUCCUUUGUUGCCAGCGGUUAGGCCGGGAACUCAAAGGAGACUGCCAGUGAUAAACUGGAGGAAGGUGGGGAUGACGCCAAGUCAUCAUGGCCCUUACGAGUAGGGCUACACACGUGCUACAAUGGCGCAUACAAAGAGAAGCGACCUCGCGAGAGCAAGCGGACCUCAUAAAGUGCGUCGUAGUCCGGAUUGGAGUCUGCAACUCGACUCCAUGAAGUCGGAAUCGCUAGUAAUCGUAGAUCAGAAUGCUACGGUGAAUACGUUCCCGGGUCUUGUACACACCG
This 438-nucleotide ribosomal RNA is filed under the name uncultured bacterium. RNAcentral describes it as "bacterial SSU rRNA". It matches the Rfam family "Bacterial small subunit ribosomal RNA", at positions 954 to 1392 of the family's 1533-position model. The record is from RNAcentral.